Molecule: ribosomal RNA, 253 nt
Filed under: uncultured bacterium
Lineage: Bacteria
Description: partial 16S ribosomal RNA
Rfam family: Bacterial small subunit ribosomal RNA
Source: RNAcentral
UACGUAGGCAGCAAGCGUUGUUCGGAGUUACUGGGCGUAAAGAGUGCGUAGGUGGUGCCCUAAGUCUGUUGUGAAAUCUCCCGGCUUAACUGGGAGGGUGCGGUGGAAACUGGGGUGCUUGAGUGUGGGAGAGGUAAGCGGAAUUCCUGGUGUAGCGGUGAAAUGCGUAGAUAUCAGGAGGAACACCGACGGCGUAGGCAGCGCCCUGGCCGUUUCCUGACGCUGAGGCACGAAAGCUGGGGGAGCAAACAGG